UUUGCAGCUGAUAAACCAAGAUUAAAAUUUACAACUGACAUUCAGUCAGCCUAUAUUGAUAUUCAUUCAAUAAAUAAAUUACGAAUCGUAGGUUAGACGUCGAGUGAGCAGAGUGUAUAGACCUUUUUGACAUUCAAUUGGACGAGAUACUCUGAUAGAUUGUGAAUGAAAUUUUAGAUUAAAAGUGAUUUUCAGCAAAGAACCUAAAGCUAGUAAUAUAAAAAUGAAUAUUGAUUAGCAACCCCUAUGUGAUUCAUUACGCCGUAUACAUCAUUCAAAUAAUACAGAUGUUCAUAACGCUAUUUUUUUUAAUAGUAUUUUCAUCAUUUUUUAUUUCGUGGCAAAAGAGAGAAAGUGAAUUGACGGAUUUUUCUUCUUUUUUCCUCCAACAAACACAACAAAUUCCAGAAGAAAAGGAGAACAAAGAAACAAAAAUUCAACAAUGUCAACAAAGGAUCAAGAUCAUAGCACAAAGCUUAUAAAAGUUUGAAUUUGUCGAUUGACGUAAUCAAUUAUUUUCUUUUUUCAAUUGUGUUCUCUCUAAAUAGUUUAAAGAAGCUCUUGGAGAAAGUUUAAUAAAGGAUCACGACGACGCUUAUCUAAUUAAAUGGCUAUACGCGAGGAAGUUUGUUAUUGAAGAUGCGGCAGAGAUGUACAAGAAGGUAAUGAAUUCCAAUAGCCUACAUUUACAAGGGAUUUAGUAAAAAACCAAAGUACCUUGAAUUGAAUUUUUCAUUCAAACAACAGACGGAUAGAUAUCGAUAAAAAAAAACAAUACUAAAUUGAAUAAGUUUAACGCUUAAUGUGUUUUUUGUUUUAUUAUUGUUGCUCUUCAUUAGAGUAUGAUUUGGCGGCGAACUACCGGAGCUGAUACUCUAAUUAAAACAUACCAAAAACCGGAAAUACUAGAGAAAUACUUUCCAGUUUCCUUUGUUGGCAUAGAUAAGCAGGGUAAUCCGAUUCUUUUUAACCAUAGCGGUAUAACGGAUUUUAGGGGACUGUUCGAUUCAGUUACAAAAGUUGAAUUUAUAAAAUAUAUGACUUAUCUAGCCGAACUCGGUAGAAAGUUAUGCAAUGAACAAAGUAAACAAAUGGAAAAGUUUAUUGGACAAAUUUCUGUUGUAAUUAACGGAGAAGGUUUCUCCAGACACAACAUGACAAAGAAACUAAUUGAUUAUAUGACUGAAUUCUUGAAAGUUUUUGAAGCUAACUAUCCAGAAUAUCUAUAUAAGUUUUAUAUAUUAAACCCUCCAAAAAUAUUCAAAUUACUAUAUAAUAUAGUAAAACCAUUUUUAAAGAAAGCUACAAGAGAUAAAGUAAUCUUUUUAGGAAAUGAUUACAAGGCUAAGCUCGCUAUUGAUUUUCAUAUAGAAAAUGCUCUUGAUACGUUUUGUAUCGGAGAAGGAUCUUCCUCUAAUAAAAAGAGCAAAUCCGAUUACAUCGUUCCCGAUGAAUAUAAAAUGAAUAAUGAGAAUAUUUCCGAUGUAAACUCUGAAAUUAAAAUAGGAAGAUUCGGCGAAGUGGAAGUUGAUUUUCUUGUUGAAAAAUCUAAUUCGAUUGUCAGAUAUUCAUUUCAAACUAAUGAUAAAAUCAAGUUCGGAGUUUAUAAAAAGACCGAUAAUAGUCAAGUUAAAUAUGAUAAAAUGAAAAAGAUCGAAGCUUUACACAGCGUGGAAAGUCACAAAUAUCCCGAAGACGGGUGUUUUGAAUGCGAAGAGGAAGGAAUAUGUAUGAUACUAAUUGUCCAAUAAUUGCAUUGUUCUAUAGACUAUAAAUAAUAUCUAUGUUAUCUACAGAUACCAUCGUUUGGAGUAAUAAAACGUGUUUAAUAGGAAAGAAUCGCAUAAAUUAUACAUUGGACGUUUUGCUUCCUAAUUGCGACACUGAUAGUGGACAGAAUAUCAUUAGCAAGCCAGCUAAGUGUAUAGCCAUUAGAGGCGCUCAUUCUGCUAAACUUAAACAAUGAUAUACAUAUGUAUACAGUUAUAAAUGGGCCUAUGCUAAAAUGUUCGUAUUUUCUAUCUUUAUCAAUAAGGAAUAAAGAAAACAAAUUAGUUCUAAGAAAAUAGGCAAAAAGGAAUAUUUGCGCUCUCUCUAUACAUAUAGGCUUAAACACAGAUAUAAAAAUAUGUUGAUACAUAUCAAUAUCGUAACAACAUAAAGUCAAGUUUAAUCGGCAAGUAAUUAAUACCAAAGAGUUUUCUUUGUCAAUACUUUAAACUAACAAUUUUGCUAAUGAACCGAAAAAAUUC
RNAcentral lists this unclassified non-coding RNA (2252 nucleotides) under Dimorphilus gyrociliatus. RNAcentral's name for it is "cRAL-TRIO domain-containing protein". The record is from RNAcentral. Lineage: Eukaryota; Metazoa; Annelida; Polychaeta; Dinophilidae.